RNAcentral lists this small nuclear RNA (107 nucleotides) under Carlito syrichta (Philippine tarsier). The record is from RNAcentral. Lineage: Eukaryota; Metazoa; Chordata; Mammalia; Primates; Tarsiidae.
GUGCUCGCUUCGGCAGCACAUGUACUAAAAUUGGAACAAUACACAGAAGAUUUGCAUGGCCCCUGUGCAAGGAUGACAAAGAAAUUCGUGAAGUGUUCCAUAUUUUU